CCCCCGAGUUUCUCCGGGGCGGCGGGAAGGGGGCAAGGACUGACUCGCGGAGACCCCUUCCUGCGCUCCGUCCUUGCGGACUGUCUCCCCUCCCCCGCCCCAUUCGGAACGGCAGUGUCCCCUGGGUGUCGUGGCUCGAAGGGGCAAGCCGGCCCUCCCGGGGCCAAGGGCCCUGUUGUCCCUUCUGUAGUCUCAGGGCAGGGACCUCUCCAACCACACGCUGCGUCUUGGAGGGAGCUGCCUGCGGCCCUGGGGAGGACCUCUCCACCACCGCUUUUCCUCAACCGUCUCCAACUCCUCUGUUGGAGGCAAGAUUGUCAACAAGUCGGUCGCGAAGUAGCCUGCCACGUUUCGUUCAAACCCGCUGCCCCCGGCCUCCCAGACCGCACCGCAGGAACUGCAGACAAUUGGUACCACAAGUGACCCCAGAAAGCCGAUCUUCAGGAUGGAAUGUUGGAGCCGGACUGCGAUCUGUCUGGAAGCAAUACGAGCCCCAUUACGGAUGCUUCCAGCUUGGCCUCUUGGAUAUCUUACUCUGGAGGAAGCCAACUGCCACGCCAGGAGAGCAACACUCAAGCAGCUUCACGGAGAAGAAACCAAGACUCUUGGCCAACAGCCAGUGCCAACGUGCCAGCCACAUGACUGAUCCACUUUAGAAGAGGAUCCUCCAGCCCCCAUCAAGCCUUCACAUGGCAGCUGCCACCGACAUCUGACUGCACCUAUCAGGGGAUCCAAGCAAGAACUGCAGCUGA
Long non-coding RNA from Prionailurus viverrinus (fishing cat), 752 nucleotides. RefSeq lists it as uncharacterized. NCBI's taxonomy places the organism in Eukaryota, Metazoa, Chordata, Mammalia, Carnivora, Felidae. The record is from RefSeq and is a predicted model, not a curated record. The transcript is spliced from 3 exons.